Molecule: ribosomal RNA, 351 nt
Filed under: uncultured Clostridium sp.
Lineage: Bacteria; Bacillati; Bacillota; Clostridia; Eubacteriales; Clostridiaceae
Description: bacterial SSU rRNA
Rfam family: Bacterial small subunit ribosomal RNA
Source: RNAcentral
GGAAGCCCUUCGGGGUGGAAUUUUUAUAUCUUAGCGGCGGACGGGUGCGUAACACGUGGGUAACCUGCCCCUAUCACUGGGAUAACACACUGAAAAGUGUGCUAAUACCAGAUAAUAUAAGCUUUUGGCAUCAUUAGCUUAUCAAAGAAUUUCGGAUAGGGAUGGGCCCGCGUCUGAUUAGCUAGUUGGUGAGGUAACGGCUCACCAAGGCAACGAUCAGUAGCCGACCUGAGAGGGUGAUCGGCCACACUGGAACUGAGACACGGUCCAGACUCCUACGGGAGGCAGCAGUGGGGAAUAUUGCACAAUGGGCGAAAGCCUGAUGCAGCAACGCCGCGUGAGCGAUGAAGG